GACGAACGCUGGCGGCGUGCUUAACACAUGCAAGUCGAACGGAAAGGCCCUGCUUUUGUGGGGUGCUCGAGUGGCGAACGGGUGAGUAACACGUGAGUAACCUGCCCUUGUCUUUGGGAUAACUUCAGGAAACUGGGGCUAAUACCGGAUAGGAGCUCCUGCUGCAUGGUGGGGGUUGGAAAGUUUCGGCGGUUGGGGAUAGACUGGCGGGUUAUCAGCUUGUUAGUCGGGUAGUGGCUUACCAAGGCUUUGACGGGUAGCCGGCCUGAGAGGGUGACCGGCGACAUGGGGACUGCGGUACGGCCCAGACUCCUACGGGAGGCAGCAGUGGGGAGUAUUGCACAACGGGCGGAAGCCUGAUGCAGCAACGCCGCGUGCGGGAUGACGGCCUUCGGGGUGUAAACCGCUUUCGCCUGUGACGAGGCGUGAGUGACGGUAAUGGGUAAAGAAGCACCGGCUAACUACGUG
This 468-nucleotide ribosomal RNA is filed under the name uncultured bacterium. Its description in RNAcentral is "partial 16S ribosomal RNA". It matches the Rfam family "Bacterial small subunit ribosomal RNA", at positions 28 to 507 of the family's 1533-position model. The record is from RNAcentral.